Suricata suricatta (meerkat) is the source of this 469-nucleotide long non-coding RNA. RefSeq lists it as uncharacterized. NCBI's taxonomy places the organism in Eukaryota, Metazoa, Chordata, Mammalia, Carnivora, Herpestidae. The record is from RefSeq and is a predicted model, not a curated record. The transcript has 3 exons.
CCUGUUGAGAUGUCGCUUGCAAAGGCUCGUUGGGUAUACAUGUCUGGCUUCCUGAUGCUCUGCCAAUGUCUCUCCUGCAAGAGCGUGGGGUGGAAGUUCAGCUCCCCAUUUAGUCCUACUGAUCCCUUCCUGGAGAAGGUAGGGUGUCAGCUUGUACUGCCUCCGCUGCCUCCAUGUAGUGUGAAAAUUCCCAGGGGUGCCCAUGCUGCCUGUCCAGGGCCAAGAGUUGCGGAUGACACGCCUAGCUGGUUAGAAUGGCAGUUCGGAGCAUAGGCCCUGGGUUCAGCAGUGUCUACCAUCCUUUGCUUGCUGUGGAGAAACCUGUUCCGGCUGCCACAGGAACCUCAGGAUUUGCCCUCCCUGGACCUGCUGAACACGAACUUUCGUCUUUAUGUAAUCAAGUAUCCCCAUCUCUCAGGGGCCGCCAUGUCACCGCCUUGUCAGUCAGUUACACAAUUAAACAAUCUGG